ACGCAAAUCCUACCAGGGGAACCUGGCCCUUAAUUCGAUGAUCCACGAUUGUUUUCUACCUGCUCCUUGUUGGGGUCGGCCGCUGCGGCGACCCCGGUCAGCUUACAUACCGCCGUUGUUCAGCCUAUACCGCGAGGGAGUAAAAAUAGGCGGUGUAGUAGAUUUGUUUUGUGCUGCCAAUUCAGGUAAACGUGUAGCUUACGGAGAGGGGCUGCUGGGUUACACUAUGUGUUUUUGGUGGAUCCUGAGUCUAAAGCGAAGGUGAAAGAGGACUUGGAAGUAAUGGCUUUGGUCAAAGGAGUCGUGAAUAGAGCUCUAGUGUGUGU
Molecule: ribosomal RNA, 326 nt
Filed under: Patelloida striata
Lineage: Eukaryota; Metazoa; Mollusca; Gastropoda; Lottiidae
Description: partial 12S ribosomal RNA
Source: RNAcentral